RNAcentral lists this ribosomal RNA (253 nucleotides) under uncultured bacterium. RNAcentral's name for it is "partial 16S ribosomal RNA". It matches the Rfam family "Bacterial small subunit ribosomal RNA", at positions 524 to 776 of the family's 1533-position model. The record is from RNAcentral.
UACGAAGGGGGCUAGCGUUGUUCGGAAUUACUGGGCGUAAAGCGCGCGCAGGUGGUCUUUCAAGUCAGUGGUGAAAGCCCGGAGCUCAACUCCGGAAAUGCCAUUGGAACUGUAAGACUUGAGGAUGAGAGAGGUGAGUGGAAUUCCCAGUGUAGAGGUGAAAUUCGUAGAUAUUGGGAAGAACACCGGUGGCGAAGGCGGCUCACUGGCUCAUAUCUGACGCUCAGGCGCGACAGCGUGGGGAUCAAACAGG